CCUACGGGAGGCAGCAGUGGGGGAUAUUGCACAAUGGGGGAAACCCUGAUGCAGCGACGCCGCGUGAGUGAAGAAGUAUUUCGGUAUGUAAAGCUCUAUCAGCAGGGAAGAAAAUGACAGUACCUGACCAAGAAGCCCCGGCUAACUACGUGCCAGCAGCCGCGGUAAUACGUAGGGGGCAAGCGUUCUCCGGAUUUACUGGGUGUAAAGGGAGCGUAGACGGUUAUGUAAGUCUGGAGUGAAAGCCCGGGGACCAACCCCGGGACUGCUUUGGAAACUGUGUAACUGGAGUACAGGAGGGGCAGGCGGAAUUGCUGGUGUAGCGGGGAAAGGCGUAGAUAGCAGGAGGAACACCGGCGGCGAAGGCGGCCUGCUGGACUGAAACUGACGUUGAGGCUCGAAGGCGUGGGGAGCAAACAGGAUUAGAUACCCCAGUAGUC
This 440-nucleotide ribosomal RNA is filed under the name uncultured bacterium. Its description in RNAcentral is "partial 16S ribosomal RNA". It matches the Rfam family "Bacterial small subunit ribosomal RNA", at positions 338 to 795 of the family's 1533-position model. The record is from RNAcentral.